UACAGAGGGUGCAAGCGUUGUUCGGAAUUACUGGGCGUAAAGGGCGCGUAGGCGGGUGGACAAGUCUCUCGUGAAAGCCCACGGCUCAACCGUGGAAUUGCGGGAGAUACUGUCUGUCUUGAGUCCGGGAGAGGAGGGUUGAAUUCCCAGUGUAGCGGUGAAAUGCGUAGAUAUUGGGAGGAACACCGGUGGCGAAGGCGGCUCUCUGGACCUGUACUGACGCUGAGGCGCGAAAGCUAGGGGAGCAAACGGG
Molecule: ribosomal RNA, 253 nt
Filed under: uncultured bacterium
Lineage: Bacteria
Description: partial 16S ribosomal RNA
Rfam family: Bacterial small subunit ribosomal RNA
Source: RNAcentral